This 73-nucleotide transfer RNA is filed under the name Xenopus laevis (African clawed frog). It matches the Rfam family "tRNA". Rfam says of the family: Transfer RNA (tRNA) molecules are approximately 80 nucleotides in length. Their secondary structure includes four short double-helical elements and three loops (D, anti-codon, and T loops). Further hydrogen bonds mediate the characteristic L-shaped molecular structure. tRNAs have two regions of fundamental functional importance: the anti-codon, which is responsible for specific mRNA codon recognition, and the 3' end, to which the tRNAs corresponding amino acid is attached (by aminoacyl-tRNA synthetases). tRNAs cope with the degeneracy of the genetic code in two manners: having more than one tRNA (with a specific anti-codon) for a particular amino acid; and 'wobble' base-pairing, i.e. permitting non-standard base-pairing at the 3rd anti-codon position. The record is from Rfam by way of RNAcentral. Lineage: Eukaryota; Metazoa; Chordata; Amphibia; Anura; Pipidae.
GCCCCAGUGGCCUAAUGGAUAAGGCACAGGCCUCCUAAGCCAGGGAUUGUGGGUUCGUGUCCCAUCUGGGGUA